This 508-nucleotide ribosomal RNA is filed under the name uncultured bacterium. RNAcentral describes it as "partial 16S ribosomal RNA". It matches the Rfam family "Bacterial small subunit ribosomal RNA", at positions 355 to 858 of the family's 1533-position model. The record is from RNAcentral.
UAAGGAAUAUUGGUCAAUGGACGCAAGUCUGAACCAGCCAUGCCGCGUGAAGGAUGAAGGUCCUCUGGAUUGUAAACUUCUUUUAUAGGGGGCGAAAAAAGGGAAAUCUUUCUCACUUGACAGUACCCUAUGAAUAAGCACCGGCUAACUCCGUGCCAGCAGCCGCGGUAAUACGGAGGGUGCAAGCGUUAUCCGGAUUCACUGGGUUUAAAGGGUGCGUAGGCGGGCGUAUAAGUCAGUGGUGAAAUCCUGGAGCUUAACUCCAGAACUGCCAUUGAUACUAUAUGUCUUGAAUAUGGUGGAGGUAAGCGGAAUAUGUCAUGUAGCGGUGAAAUGCAUAGAUAUGACAUAGAACACCUAUUGCGAAGGCAGCUUACUACGCCUAUAUUGACGCUGAGGCACGAAAAGCGUGGGGGAUCAAAACAGGAUUUAGAUACCCUGGUAGUCCACGCCCUAAACGAUGAUUACUCGACGUGUGCGAUAAACGGUACGCGUCUGAGCGAAAAGC